Molecule: long non-coding RNA, 793 nt
Organism: Ananas comosus (pineapple)
Lineage: Eukaryota; Viridiplantae; Streptophyta; Magnoliopsida; Poales; Bromeliaceae
Exons: 3
Source: RefSeq, a predicted model, not a curated record
UGUUAUGAGAUGGGCUAAGGUGUAAUUGUGCAAAUGAGAGGGGCCAAGGUGUAAUGGUGCAAGUAAUUGAGUUUACUUGGAGGGCAAGUUUCCUAUGUACCUAUGUAAAAGAGUUUACUUGUUGGGCAAGUUUUCUAUGUAAUUGAGUGAAUCCUUGCCCUUUUCCCCCAAACCGUAGGAGAGAGAGAGGGUGAGUUUUCUCUCUUUUUCUCUUUGACUUUAUGACCUCUCUUUCUCUUUGGUUCUCUUUACCAAAGAGAGGAUUAGAGAAGAAAGAAAAAUUGGAAUUUGCUUGGUGGUGAAGCAAGCUUGGUGGAGAAGAAGCUCUUCUCCCUCUCAUACUCAAGCUAGGGCUUGCUUUGGAGCAAACCCUAGAGGCGAAGACGGUUCGUCGAUCCGACGAGUGAGCGCGGAGAUAUCACUGAUUUGAGUGCUCUAGGGUUCGUUUUGACCCGAGGUGUUGAAGCGGCGCACGUGGACCGCGACGCCAAGUUUAGUAGCUCUACGGUACUACCACAAGGUACACACGAGAGUGGAUCGGCAGAGGAUCGCGACAAGGGCUUAGCGCCCUUGUGCUAGUUGAUAGUUUACUUUCGUAUUUUGCAUUAGAGUUACCCUAUACAUGUAUUGAGAGGAGAUGAUGUAUAGGAUGUGAGGUAUUUUGAGAUAAAUGUAAGCUUAUAUUCAUAUUUUGGAAAAGAAUGCAAGUUGUAAUUAAAUGUAUCAAGUAGAAUGGUUGUAAUAGAACAGUUAAGUAUCUCUCUUUUGUUUCACUUAUAUGUCUUCUACUUGU